CAUGUCCUGGUCUUUGUCAGUGCGCUGAAGAAGAGGCUUGGAAUUCGAUCACACCACCGAGACCUAAUAAUCAAUGGUUUAAUAAUUUUGUUGAGUUAAGAAGACAGUGGAGUGAUCAUGCACGUACUAAUUGCUAUCGAUUUGAUCAAUCGAGAAAAUCUAAUGCACUUUAUAAACAUCCAAUACCAACCCAAAAAUCUACCUUACCUACAAAUCACUCUUCAUUACCGGCAGAUUCUCCAGCUCACUCGAUAAAUGUCCCAUGCCAUGAAUUAGAAACAAAUUCUUCCUGUUGUCACAGCGGAAGUCAUAAUAAUUAUAACAAACGUAACCAUAAAAAU
Long non-coding RNA from Microplitis demolitor, 341 nucleotides. RefSeq lists it as uncharacterized. The transcript is spliced from 3 exons. Lineage: Eukaryota; Metazoa; Arthropoda; Insecta; Hymenoptera; Braconidae. The record is from RefSeq and is a predicted model, not a curated record.